Molecule: ribosomal RNA, 113 nt
Filed under: Notechis scutatus (mainland tiger snake)
Lineage: Eukaryota; Metazoa; Chordata; Lepidosauria; Squamata; Elapidae
Source: RNAcentral
AAUGAGAAGCCUCAGGAAAUGGUAACAUCUGGCUGCUCUCAGAAGCUAAGCAGGUGUGACCUUGGUUAAUAUUCAGGUGGGGGACUUCAAGGGAAUUUCAGGGAUAUUCAAUA